GACGAACGCUGGCGGCGUGCCUAAUACAUGCAAGUCGAACGAACCGCGACUAAGUGCUUGCACUAAGUCAAGGUGAGUGGCGAACGGGUGAGUAACACGUGGGUAACCUACCUCAUAGUGGGGGAUAACAGUCGGAAACGACUGCUAAUACCGCAUAGGACAUAGGAUCACAUGAUCCAGUGAGGAAAGGUGGCGCAAGCUAUCGCUAAGAGAUGGACCCGCGGUGCAUUAGCUAGUUGGUAGGGUAAAGGCCUACCAAGGCGAUGAUGCAUAGCCGACCUGAGAGGGUGAUCGGCCACAUUGGGACUGAGACACGGCCAAAACUCCUACGGGAGGCAGCAGUAGGGAAUCUUCCGCAAAGGACGCAAGUCUGACGGAGCAACGCCGCGUGAGUGAAGAGGGUCUUCGGAUCGUAAAGCUCUGUUGUUAGAGAAGAACAGCGCAUAGAGUAACUGCUAUGCGUGUGACGGUAUCUAACCAGAAAGCCACGGCUAACUACGUG
Molecule: ribosomal RNA, 502 nt
Filed under: uncultured bacterium
Lineage: Bacteria
Description: partial 16S ribosomal RNA
Rfam family: Bacterial small subunit ribosomal RNA
Source: RNAcentral